Molecule: ribosomal RNA, 374 nt
Filed under: uncultured bacterium
Lineage: Bacteria
Description: bacterial SSU rRNA
Rfam family: Bacterial small subunit ribosomal RNA
Source: RNAcentral
GACGAACGCUGGCGGCGUGCUUAACACAUGCAAGUCGAGCGCUGAAGCCUUUCGGGGUGGAUGAGCGGCGAACGGGUGAGUAACACGUGGGUGACCUGCCCUCAGCUCUGGGAUAAGCCUGGGAAACUGGGUCUAAUACCGGAUAUGACCUUUCCUCGCAUGGGGUUUGGUGGAAAGUUUUUCGGCUGGGGAUGGGCCCGCGGCCUAUCAGCUUGUUGGUGGGGUGAUGGCCUACCAAGGCGACGACGGGUAGCCGGCCUGAGAGGGCGUCCGGCCACACUGGGACUGAGACACGGCCCAGACUCCUACGGGAGGCAGCAGUGGGGAAUAUUGCGCAAUGGGCGGAAGCCUGACGCAGCGACGCCGCGUGGGGA